CGUAGGGUGCGAGCGUUAAUCGGAAUUACUGGGCGUAAAGCGUGCGCAGGCGGUUUUGUAAGACAGAUGUGAAAUCCCCGGGCUCAACCUGGGACCUGCAUUUGUGACUGCAAGGCUAGAGUACGGUAGAGGGGGAUGGAAUUCCGCGUGUAGCAGUGAAAUGCGUAGAUAUGCGGAGGAACACCGAUGGCGAAGGCAAUCCCCUGGACCUGUACUGACGCUCAUGCACGAAAGCGUGGGGAGCAAACAGGAUUAGAUACCCCUGGUAGUCCACGCCCUAAACGAUGUCAACUGGUUGUUGGGUACUUUACUGACUCAGUAACGAAGCUAACGCGUGAAGUUGACCGCCUGGGGAGUACGGCCGCAAGGUUG
Molecule: ribosomal RNA, 372 nt
Filed under: uncultured organism
Description: bacterial SSU rRNA
Rfam family: Bacterial small subunit ribosomal RNA
Source: RNAcentral